AAACCAGCACCUCAAGUGGUCAGGAUGAUUAUUGGGCCUAAAGCAUCCGUAGCCUGUUAUGUAAGUUUACGGUUAAAUCCAUAUGCUCAACAUAUGGGCUGCCGAAAAUACUGCAUAACUAGGGAGUGGGAGAGGUAGACGGUACUCGGUAGGAAGGGGUAAAAUCCUUUGAUCUAUUGAUGACCACCUGUGGCGAAGGCGGUCUACCAGAACAUGUCCGACGGUGAGGGAUGAAAGCUGGGGGAGCAAACCGGAUUAGAAACCCGAGUAGUCC
Molecule: ribosomal RNA, 274 nt
Filed under: uncultured bacterium
Lineage: Bacteria
Description: partial 16S ribosomal RNA
Rfam family: Archaeal small subunit ribosomal RNA
Source: RNAcentral